UUUAUAAUAAACUAUCAAAUAUGUAUUCGGGUACUAAUUACUAGGAUCGAAAAAUAAUUAACUCCCGUCCAGUUCAAGUUGAUCAACUAUAAUAUAUAAUUACUAGCUGAACCCGUGCACUUCGUUACCUGUUAAAUGUACAAACUGUAUAUGACUCAAAUUUUGUUCAAUGCGUUAUUUAAUAUUCGGUGUAUGAUGUUCUAGAUUUAUCUUAACUUAAUGUUGCCCGGAAUAAAAAUUCUGAUUCGCAGCAGUAUAUUAUCAGGUAGGCCAUCUACCUGCGGUAAAUCGCGGACCCCGUGCUGUUCGUACAUGAGUGUAUGAUUUAACUAUAAAGUAUCAAAGAUGACACGCACGUCCGUUGUUCCAGACACUAGAAGCCCUCGUCAGUCGUCAUCAUCAUCGGAUAAAAUAUGACGUAUUGUCAUAGGUAGUAUACCUAUACGGUAUAAGUGUAUAACUUAUAAUAUAAUAUUCUAAUAUUAUAGCCGGGUGCACAAAACCUGGCACUGCUGAUUCUCGGGUCGUCUUUUACACCUAUAAGAGCGGCGGCCUUGGAAGAUACUCCCCCAGAAAUAAAAAUAAUUUUAAACGAAAAAAUUCACGAGGGCGCCACCCCCGAGUUUGCCGUGUCAAAGUUCACUCCCAACCCUUAUGUAUAUUAUAUUAUGUAUGUAUUUUUAUAUGAUAUCAGACCUGCGCAGAAUCUUUGGUUGUCUCCUGGUGGCGAUGCGACCCAUCGCGGUCUAUCGACGUCGUUGCAUAUAGAAACCUGCUAUUUAUAUGGGCAAAUGUGUAUGCAUAAUUUAUAAUAUUAUAUAAUAUCAAUGCCGAACGAGUGAUAUGCAGAUAUGUCGUCAUUCGACUACUUGGGAUAACGCGGCACUCAUGGGUCCAGAUAUACCAAAGGAAUUAUAUUAUUCGAUCGCAACGUUUUCACACGUACACGCCGCCACACUGCUGAUGCAAUCAGUAUCGCGAAAUAACGGGAUCGAUAGACGAUGGACGGACGAUGGACGAUUCUGGUGAUACAUCCCGAUUUUUUUACAUAUAGAUUAUUAAGAAAACUGAAAAGUGUUGAGAUUUUUCAAUGUUGACUUCUCAUAAGGAUCAAUUACUAGAUCCAUUUUAGAAACCAUUCCCAAAGUUGAAAAUCGAAGCAUUUUUUCUAUUACAUUUUGUAUACAGAAACAAAGAAAAAUCGCUUAAUUUUAAAAUAAUAUUAUUUAUUAAUUUAUUAUGUUUUGACGUGAAACAUGAUUAUAUAAUAUGAAUAAUAUAUUACAAAAG
Molecule: long non-coding RNA, 1290 nt
Organism: Metopolophium dirhodum (rose-grain aphid)
Lineage: Eukaryota; Metazoa; Arthropoda; Insecta; Hemiptera; Aphididae
Exons: 4
Source: RefSeq, a predicted model, not a curated record